The submitters of this non-coding RNA (80 nucleotides) gave its source as unclassified sequences. The record is from Rfam.
ACAGGGUCGAUUCGUCCCCUGCGGAUGGUCUGGCAGGCAUAGCGGCAAAAAACCGGGCGGAAACGGCCGGAUGGCGAAGC